RNAcentral lists this transfer RNA (102 nucleotides) under Eutypa lata UCREL1. It matches the Rfam family "tRNA". From Rfam's summary of the family: Transfer RNA (tRNA) molecules are approximately 80 nucleotides in length. Their secondary structure includes four short double-helical elements and three loops (D, anti-codon, and T loops). Further hydrogen bonds mediate the characteristic L-shaped molecular structure. tRNAs have two regions of fundamental functional importance: the anti-codon, which is responsible for specific mRNA codon recognition, and the 3' end, to which the tRNAs corresponding amino acid is attached (by aminoacyl-tRNA synthetases). tRNAs cope with the degeneracy of the genetic code in two manners: having more than one tRNA (with a specific anti-codon) for a particular amino acid; and 'wobble' base-pairing, i.e. permitting non-standard base-pairing at the 3rd anti-codon position. Lineage: Eukaryota; Fungi; Ascomycota; Sordariomycetes; Xylariales; Diatrypaceae. The record is from Rfam by way of RNAcentral.
GGCCAGCUGGCCUAAUGGUAAGGCGCUAGAUUUCGGUGAUACCUCUGCUCUGCAGGUGGUUACUCCCUCUAGAGAUUGCAGGUUCGAAUCCUGCGUUGGUCG